CAGGCUGCAACCCGCCUGCAUGAAGUUGGAAUCGCUAGUAAUCGCGGAUCAGCAUGCCGCGGUGAAUACGUUCCCGGGCCUUGUACACACCGCCCGUCACACCAUGAGAGUCGGGAACACCCGAAGUCCGUAGCCUGACCGCAAGGGGGGCGCGGCCGAAGGUGGGUUCGAUAAUUGGGGUGAAGUCGUAACAAGGUACC
Molecule: ribosomal RNA, 200 nt
Filed under: uncultured bacterium
Lineage: Bacteria
Description: partial 16S ribosomal RNA
Rfam family: Bacterial small subunit ribosomal RNA
Source: RNAcentral